Non-coding RNA from Globicephala melas (long-finned pilot whale), 14010 nucleotides. The record is from RefSeq and is a predicted model, not a curated record. NCBI's taxonomy places the organism in Eukaryota, Metazoa, Chordata, Mammalia, Artiodactyla, Delphinidae.
CGGCCUGCCCGCGCGGUGGGGCGGGGAGUGAGGAGCCGGGCUCAGGAGGGGAGGGCGUCUCUGGGCGUAGGGCUGAGCCAGAGCGGGUGCCCCUUUUCCUGUCCCCUCACCGAGCCUGGUGAUGGGUGACCGGGUCCGCCGGCCCGGUGGCCCCAGGCCGUCCAAGCACAGCAGCGCUUCCUCCACUCCAAAGCGUGGCCUACGGCGGGGUUGUUCCUGGCGGUCAGAGCGGCUGCCCCAUGCCAAACUGCGGAGACACGGUUCAGCGUGGACCCACCCCGCGUCUCGCGUGCAAACUCCAGCCCCUGAUGCACCCUUGGUUGCCAGUUCCCCUGGAGUGAGGGGACGGGGGAGACGUGAAGCGGCAGUGUGCCUGACUUCAGCGGUGGAGGAUUCCGUCUGCAAGAACAAGCUUCCUGCUCUGACCCACAAUACAGCGGCCCACUUGCCCUGGCAGCCCUUGCAUCUGGCCAACCUCCCCUGCAUCAGGACUCCCAGUGACCCUCAGUGGCCUCUGAUCAGUGAUCGCAUCACUGACCCUGACCAAGGACUCAUCAGCAACCUUGACAAAUGUCCAAAAUAAUGACCAGUGACGUGAACAAUUCUGGUAUUGGCACCAGGCUUCCGGCCACUCCAGCUGCUGCCCAGACUUGGCCAGGGCCGCGGUCUCCUCCAGAUUCAUGCUUCGCCAGAUGGCCAAGAGCAUGGCCCCUCGGCAUGGGUAAGGUGGUGUAGACAGCACAAAGGGGGCGUUCCCACAGCAAUGGGUUAUCCUCAGUGUCAGUGACAGUGGUGGGGCGCUGUGGCGUCCCUGGGGGCAGGCGGUCUCUGGGCCUGACCUCUGGGUCGGGGUCAGGGGCAGCCAGCCGUCCCCACGCACGGAUGUGUGCGCCCUGCGCGUCCGGUCCAGCACAGCGCGCACGAAGCCUCUGAGGUACCCUUGCUUCAGGCUGAUCAGCCCCGGCAGCUGCUUGGGCUCUGGUUCCCGCCCCGGGAGAGAUCAGCAGGUGCGACAGGGGUAGGUGGGGCCGCCACCACUCCGGGCUGCGACACACAUCUGGAACCUGUCGCCGUCCUGUGUCCGUGUCACUGAGGCGAAGUGCCCUUGUCCCGACCCCAUUCUCGUUUCUCUCCCGUGUCCGCCCCUCAGUCCCGUGUCUGUGUCGCCCGUGUGCAUGUCUCCGUGUCUGGCUCUCACGUCUCGGUCUCACAACUUGAUCCGGGGCCGUACCUGUCCUGCACAGCGGCGCUCGCCGGUCCUCUUCGGAUCCCAGCCGGUUUCCGUUCCGUCUUGCGGGAGGCCACAGGGUGGGAACAGUGGGACUGCGCGCCUGGCCGGAGCCGCGGAGGGGCGGGGCCUCCCGACAGGCAGGGUUUUAGGCCAAUCGCCGCCUCGGAGGGGCAGGACGACCCGGCUCACUUCUGUCCUGGCCAAUCACGAGGGCCUGCGGGAGCUUGAGAAGUCCGGGACUUCGCGGGCCCGCCCACCUGUCCGUUUUGCCCGCCUGCCUCGCCGCAAGCACAGAGAGGCCGACAGGCUGCUGGAUCCAGAGAUUUUAAGAAACAUUCGUGGGGCCGCGCCCGGCCGGCUGGUCAGUCAUCCACGUCGAUCACCAUCGGGGCCAGGUAGUCCGAGUGCCGGAUCCCGAAGCUCCAGCCGCGAGGCUUCCGGUGCUGCGGACCCAGGAGACGUCGCUGGCCUGGCGCUGCCAGCCGGCCCAGGGCUCCCGGGUCCCAACCUCGCACCUCAGACCCUCGAUCCAGACCCGGACCCCUUUACCCCGCCUCUGACCCUUGACUCUGAACUGCAGAGCACCUGGUCCACGUUGUAGGCUGCAGGCCCGGGAUUCAGGCUGUUGCCUUGGGGGAGCGAAGUCCGCGCCAGCAUCGAGAACUGGGGGGCCCGGGGCUUGUAGAUCCCAGGGCUCACCACAUGGUAGGCGCAGGGCCCGGGGGUCUGCGGGAGGGCGGGAGGGGCGCUGUGUCCGGCUUCCAGGACCGUCGACCGCUGACCCCUCGCCGCGCGGUGCGGGCAGCCCCUUCCCCACCUUACUGAGGUCCUCGCAGACGCUGCCCACCGCGCUGCGGCCGUAGAUGGAGUAAAUCGGCGCCGAGACUUUACCGACGACGCGCGGGCCCAGGAGCGAGGGCACAGUGUAGGUCCCGGGGCCUGGGGGAGCCAGCGAGGGUGGGUCUUUGAGGACCGGCCGGUCUGCCCGCCGCAGGCAGUGCAGGGUGGGCCUUCCUGGGCUCACCUGGGGUCUGCGACUCUGCGCGGAGGCCCCAGUUUCGGGGAGCGAUGGUGUGCCGAGGCGCGCUGGGGUACGCCGCCUUCUCCGCUCGCUCCGGGAAGUACCUGCCUGCGGGGCGGACCGGGGUGUGGGCCGGAACUGCACUGGGGGCCUGGUGGGUGCCCGGGCUGGAGUCCAGGGAUUAGGGGGAAUUCGAACCACGAUUUGUCAAAGCCUGGUGAGGCUUGGAGCUCUUUUGAGCUCCGGAGAUGGGGGGACCGAAUUUGGAGUGUUAGGGUGCCCGAGGGGGACUCGGGCUCAGUGGGGGUGUUCCCGAGUGGGCGUCCCUGGAGGCGGCUCGGCGUUGGGGAGGCCGGGGUCCCAGGGUCCUGACCCGGUCCGGGAGUGAGGAAGGGCGCUGCGUGGCGCGGGCGGCCGAAGAUGGAGUAGGCGGGAGCGCCGUCGCGGCCGCGCACUGUCAUGCGAGCGGGCACCAGGUGACCUGGCCCUGGGCCGCACGAAGUCUGCUGCGUGGGGAGGCGUGCGCCGAAGGUGAAGGCGGGGGCGCGGGGCCGCGACGGGUCGUGCAGGAUGUAACCUGCGGGGCGCCCCAGCAUCACCAGGGUUAGGGUUAGCCCCUGUGUGCCCCCCUCCCCCGGCCCACCGCUGGUACCAGUGCUGGCUGGCAGCUUGUACUUGGGCCCCGGGCCGCUGUAGAGCGCUGCGAUGGGGCCGCGGGGCCGGUGCGGCCGCCACGGGCCGACCCAGACUUCCGAGCCCAUGGUACGGUGGGAGCGCUUGCUGCCGGCAACACCUGCGGACACCAGGUGGCGGCCCCGGCCCCCCCACCCUGACUCGCGAGGCCGCACUCCCUAUCCCCUCCAGACAGGCCGGACUCCGGGGCGGGGCCCGCGCCUAUCCCACGUACCAGGGAAACAAACGGUAGCUUUCCCAGCUCCAGAGAGGCGCGGGUCAGGGACAGAGCUUCGAGGCCGUCUCUUGUCCCCCACCCCCAAAAUGAGUUCAGUGGAGGUGUGUGUGCGCGCUCCAAGUUUGGACUCAACACUGCGGGAGAGGAAUUCCCCGGGGUUCUGGAGAACUGGGAUAUUUUAGGGAUAUUUGGGGGAGGAUACCGGGGCGAGGGAGCGGCGUGGGGGACCUGGUGCCGGAGGGGGGCCCCCGAAGUUGAUGCACUGACCUGCUCCUGUGUCUCCUGGCUGGGAAGGUAGGGUUGGGUGUCUGGAUUUCUGCCCCUGCCCGGCCCAGCUCCCAGACCCCAUUGUGUCUAGGUCGCGCCUCCAGGCAACCAGACUGACCGUCCCACCUGGCUCCGCCCCUCCCCUCUCCCUGCCUCUCCUCCUUGGAGUCCAUGGCAAUGGCAGGCGUCCUGCAGGCUGUGCCACAGACCAGAACUCUGUCCUCACCCUUCCCCAGGCUUCAGUACACCCAUUCCAGAAAUGGACAGAUAUGCAGACAAAAAACAAGUGCGAGAAUAAAGAAAUCAAGCUUAAUUUAAUUGUUAUGUGUAGGGGAGAGAACUUUGCAUCUAUUUAAACCCAUGGAAUAUUUGCAGAAAAUAAUCAUGUACUGGGCCACAAGAACGUCCGUACAAUUAGCAGAUGUAAACUAUUAUAUAUAGGAUGGAUAAACAACAAGGUUCUACCGUAUAGCACAGGGAACUACAUUCAAUAUCCUGUGAUAAACCAUAUUGGAAAAGAAUAUGAAAAAAAAGAGUGUGUGUGUGUAUAACUGAGUCACUGCUGCACAGCAGAGACUGACACAACAUUGCAACUCAACUCUACUUCAACUUUAGAAAGACGCCCAUACGAGUUGAAUAAAGAGAUAUAAUAGGACACAUGAUUGAUCACAAUUCAAAAUAAUUCUUAGCAAACAGUAAAAUGUGGGUUUUUUUGAAUUUUAUUUAUUUUUUUAAUGCAGCAGGUUCUUAUUAGUCAUCCAUUUUAUACACAUCAGUGUAUACAUGUUAAUCCCAAUCUCCCGAUUCAUCCCACCGCCACCCCACCCCACCGCUGCUUUCCCCCCUUGGUGUCCAUACGUUUGUUCUCUACAUCCGUGUCUCUAUUUCUGCCCUGCAAACCGGUUCAUCUGUACCAUUUUUCUAGGUUCCACAUAUAUGCGUUAAUAUACGAUAUUUGAUUUUCUCUUUCUGAUUUACUUCACUCUGUAUGACAGUCUCUAGAUUCAUCCACGUCUCUACAAAUGACCCAAUUUCGUUCCUUUUUAUGGCUGAGUAAUAUUCCAUUGAAUAUAUGUGCCACAUCUUCUUUAUCCAUUCGUCUGUCGAUGGGCAUUUAGGUUGCUUCCAUGACCUGGCUGUUGUAAAUAGUGCUGCAAUGAAUAUUGGGGUGCAUGUGUCUUUUUGAAUUAUGGUUUUCUCAGGGUAUAUGCCCAGUAGUGGGAUUGCUGGAUCAUAUGGUAAUUCUAUUUUUAGUUUUUUAAGGAACCUCCAUACUGUUCUCCAUAGUGGCUGUAUCAAUUUACAUUCCCACCAACAGUGCAAGAGGGCUCCCUUUUCUCCACACCCUCUCCAGCAUUUGUAGUUUGUAGAUUUUCUGAUGAUGCCCGUUCUAACUGAUGUGAGUUGAUACCUCACUGUAGUUUUGAUUUGCAUUUCUCUAAUAAUUAGUGAUGUUGAGCAGCUUUUCAUGUGCUUCUUGGCCAUCUGUAUGUCUUCUUUGGAGAAAUGUCUAUUUAGGUCUUCUGCCCAUUUUUGGAUUGGGUUGUUUGUUUUUUUAAUAUUGAGCUGCACAAGCUGUUCAUAUAUUUUGGAGAUUAAUCCUUUGUCCGUUGAUUCGUUUGCAAAUAUUUUCUCCCAUUCUGAGGGCUGUCUUUUCGUCUUGUUUAUGGUUGCCUUUGCUGUGCAAACGCUUUUAAGUUUCAUUAGGUACGAUUUGUUUAUUUUUGUUUUUAUUUCCAUUACUCUAGGAGGUGUAUCAAAAAAGAUCUUGCUGUGAUUUAUUUCAAAGGGUGCUCUUCCUCUAUUUUCCUCUUAGAUUUUUAUAGUGUCCAGUCUUACAUUUAGGUCUCUAAUCCAUUUUGAAUUUAUUUUGUGUAUGGUGUUAGGGAGUGUUCCAAUUUCAUUCUUUUACAUAUAGCUUUCCAGUUUUCCCAGCACCACUUAUUGAAGAGACUGUCUUUUCUCCAUUGUACAUCUUUGCCUCCUUUGUCAUAGAUUAGGUGACCAUAAGUGCGUGGGUUUAUUGCUGGGCUUUCUAUCUUGUUUCAUUGAUCUAUAUUUCUGUUUUUGUGCCAGUGCCAUACUGUUUUGAUUACUGUAGCUUUGUAGUAUUGUCUGAAGUCAGGGAAUCUCAUUCUUCCAGCUCCGCUUUUUUCCCUCAAGACUGCUUUGGCUGUUUGGGGUCUUUUGUGUCUCCAUACAAAUUUUAAGAUUUUUGGUUCUAGUUCUGUAAAAAAUACCAUUGGUAAUUUAAUAGGGAUUGCAUUGAAUCUGUAGAUUGCUUUGUGUAGUAUAGUCAUUUUCACAAUAUUGAUUCUUCCAAUCCAAGAACAUGAUAUAUCUCUCCAUCUGUUGGUAUCAUCUUUGAUUUCUUUCAUCAGUGUCUUAUAGUUUUCUGCAUACAGGUCUUUUGUCUCCCUAGGUAGGUUUAUUCCUAGGUAUUUUAUUCUUUUUGUUGCAAUGGUAAAUGGGAGUGUUUCCUUAAUUUCUCUUUCAGAUUUUUCGUCAUUAGUAUAUAGGAAUGCAAGAGAUUUCUGUGCAUUAAUUUUGUAUCCUGCAACUUUACCCAAUUCAUUGAUUAGCUCUAGUAGUUUUCUGGUGGCAUCUGUAGGAUUCUCUAUUUAGAGUAUCAUGUCAUCUGAAAACAGUGGCAGUUUUACUUCUUUUCCAAUUUGUAUUCCUUUUAUUUCUUUUUCUUCUCUGAUUGCCGUGGCUAGGACUUCCAAGACUAUGUUGAAUAAUAGUGGUGAGAAUGGACAUCCUUGUCUUGUUCCUGAUCUUAGAGGAAAUGCUUUCAGUUUUUCACCAUUGAGAAUGAUGUUUGCUGUGGGUUUGUUGUAUAUGGCCUUUAUUAUGUUGAGGUAGGUUCCCUCUAUGCCUACUUUCUGGAGAGUUUUUAUCAUAAAUGGGUGUUGAAUUUUGUCAAAAGCUUUUUCUGCAUCUAUUGAGAUGAUCAUAUGGUUUUUAUUCUUCAGGUUGUUAAUAUGGUGUAUCACGUUGAUUGAGUGCAUAUAUCGAAGAAUCCUUGCAUCCCUGGGAUAAAUCCCACUUGAUCAUGGUGUAUGAUCCUCUUAAUGUGCUGUUGGAUUCUGUUUGCUGGUAUUUUGUUGAGGAGUUUUGCAUCUAUAUUCAUCAGUGAUAUUGGUCUGUAAUUUUCUUUUUUUGUAGUGUCUUUGUCUGGUUUUGGUGUCAGGGUGAUGUUGGCCUCAUAGAAUGAGUUUUGGAGUGUUCCUUCCUCUGAAAAUUUUUGGAAGAGUUUGAGAAGGAUGGGUGUUAGCUCUUCUCUAAAUGUUUGAUAGAAUUCACCUGUGAAGCCAUCUGGUCCUGGACUUUUGUUUGUUGGAAGAUUUUUUUUUUUUUGCAGUACGCGGCCCUCUCACUGUUGUGGCCUCUCCCAUUGCGGAGCACAGGCUCCGGAUGCGGAGGCUCAUGGGCCCAGCCGCUCCGCAGCACGUGGGAUCCUCCCGGACCGGGGCACGAACCCGUGUCCCCUGCAUCGGCAGGUGACUCUCAGCCACUGUGCCACCAGGGAAGCCCCCUGUUGGAAGAUUUUUAAUCACAGUUUCAAUUUCAUUACUUGUGAUUGGUCUGUUCAUAUUUUCUAUUUCUUCCUGGUUCAGUCUUGGGAGGUUGUACCUUUCUAAGAAUUUGUCCAUUUCUUCCAGGUUGUCCAUUUUGUUGGCAUAGAUUUGCUUGUAGCAGUCCCUUAGGGUUCUUUGUAUUUCUGCAGUGUCUGUUGUAACUUCUCCGUUUUCAUUUCUAAUUUUAUUGAUUUGAGUCCUCUCCCUCUUUUUCUUGAUGAGUCUGACUAAUGGUUUAUCAGUUUUGUUUAUCUUCUCACAAAACCAGCUUUUAGUUUUAUUUAUCUUUGCUGUUGUUUUCUUUGUUUCUAUUUCAUUUAUUUCUGCUCUGAUUUUUAUGAUUUCUUUCCUUCUGCUAACUUUGGGUUUUGUUUGUUCUUCUUUCUCUAGUUGCUUUAGGUGUAAGGUUAGAUUGUUUGAGAUUUUUCUUGUUUCUUGAGGUAGGCUUGUAUAGCUAUAAACUUCCCUCUUAGAACUGCUUUUGCUGCAUCCCAUAGGUUUUGGAUCAUCGUGUUUUCAUUGUCAUUUGUCUCUAGGUAUUUUUUUAUUUCCUGUUUGGUUUCCCCAGUGAUCUCUUGGUUAUUUAGUAACGUAUUGUUUAGCCUCAGUGUGUUUGUGUUUUUUACAUUUUUUUCCCUGUAAUUCAUUUCUAAUCUCAUAGCGUUGUGGUCAGAAAAGAUGCUUGAUAUGAUUUCAGUUUUCUUAAAUUUACUGAGGCUUGAUUUGUGACCCAAGAUGUGAUCUAUCCUGGAGAAUGUUCCGUGCACACUUGAGAAGAAAGUGUAAUCUGCUGUUUUUGGAUGGAAUGUCCUAUAAAUAUCAAUGAAAUCUAUCUGGUCUAUUGUGUCAUUUAAAGCUUGUGUUUCCUUAUUGAUUUUCUGUUUGGAUGAUCUGUCCAUUGGUGUAAGUGAGGUGUUAAAGUCCCCCACUAUUAUUGUGUUACUGUCGAUUUCCUCUUUUAUAGCUGUUAGCAGUUGCCUUAUGUAUUGAGGUGCUCCUAUGUUGGGUGCACAUAUAUUUAUAAUUGUUAUAUCUUCUUGGUUUGAUCCCUUGAUCAUUAUGUAGUGCCCUUCCUUGUCUCUUGUAACAUUCUUUAUUUUAAAGUCUAUUUUAUCUGAUAUGAGUAUUGCUACUCCCGCUUUCUUUUGAUUUCCAUUUGCAUGGAAUAACUUUUUCUGUCCCCUCACUUUCAGUCUGUAUGUGUCCCUAGGUCUGAAGUGGGUCUCAAGACAGCAUAUAUAUGGGUCUUGUUUUUGUAUCCAUUCAGUGAGCCUGUGUCUUUUGGUUGGAGCAUUUAAUCCAUUCACCUUUAAGGUAAUUAUCGAUAUGUAUGUUCCUAUUACCAUUUUCUUAGUUGUUUUGUGUUUGUUUUUGUAGGUCCUUUUGUUCUCUAGUGUUUCCCACUUAGAGAAGUUCCUUUAGCAUUUGUUGUAGAGCUGGUUUGGUGGUGCUGAAUUCUCUUAGUUUUUGCUUGUCUGUAAAGCUUUUGAUUUCUCCAUCGAAUCUGAAUGAGAUCCUUGCCGGGUAGAGUGAUCUUGGUUGUAGGUUCCUUCCUUUCAUCACUUUAAGUAUAUCAUGCCACUUCCUUCUGGCUUGUAGAGUUUCUGCUGAGAAAUCAGCUGUUAACCUUAUGGGAGUUCCCUUGUAUGUGAUUUGUCAUUUUUCCCUUGCUGCUUUCAAUAAUUUUUCUUUGUCUUUAAUUUUUGCCAAUUUGAUUACUAUGUGUCUUGGCGUGUUUUUCCUUGGGUUUAUCCUGUAUGGGACUCUCUGUGCUUCCUGGACUUGGGUGGCUAUUUCCUUUCCCAUGUUAGGGAAUUUUUCAACUAAAAUCUCUUCAAAUAUUUUCUCGGGUCCUUUCUCUCUCUCUUCUCUUUCUGGGACCCUAUAAUGCGAAUGUUGUUGCGUUUAAUGUUGUCCCAGAGGUCUCUUAGGCUGUCUUCAUUUCUUUUCUCUCUUUUUUCUUUAUUCUGUUCCGCAGCAGUGAAUUCACUGGUCUGUCUUCCCGGUCACUUAUCCAUUCUUCUGCCUCAGUUAUUCUGCUAUUGAUUGUUUCUAGUGUAGUUUUCAUUUCAGUUAUUGUAUUGUUCAUCUCUCUUUGUUUGUUCUUUAGUUCUUCUGGGUCUUUGUUAAACAUUUCUUGCAUCUUCUCGAUCUUUGCCUCCAUUCUUUUUCCGAGGUCCUGGAUCAUCUUCACUAUCAUUAUUCUGAAUUCUUUUUCUGGCAGGUUGCCUAUCUCCACUUCAUUUAGUUGUUUUUCUGGGGUUUUAUCUUGUUCCUUCAUCUGGUACCUAGCCCUCUGCCUUUCAUCUUGUCUGUCUUUCUGUGAAUGUGGUUUUCCUUCCACAGGCUGCAGGAUUGUAGUUCUUCUUGCUUCUGCUGUCUGCCCUCUGGUGGAUGAGGCUAUCUCUAAAAUGUUUUUUUAAAAGGGUUAAAUACUUAGAAACUAACAAAUUCUCUUUUAAAACCAGCAACCACUGAGGUAGAAGAAAAACAAAGGGUAGGGGCACUAUGAAGGCUGAGAGCGCAUUUCAGGAAGCUGUUGGGUCUCUGUUUAAUAUUCUUGAGAAGCUGAGGAAGGCCAGUUUCUUGAGGCUAAUGAAAUGGGACUGCUCAUGAGGAAAACAGCUAAAGUCCCAAGUUAAAAAUGAUGAGAAGACACAAGUGCAGCCUGCACACAGACAUGCUAAAGUAUACAACUAUACUUCAAUUUAAUUUUUUUAAAUAAAUAAAAUUCUUUUGUUUCCCUCUGAAAGAUACCCCCAAGUGUAAUUCCUGCAUCAUAUGUUCUACUUUUAAUUUCUCGAGGAACCUCCAUACUGUUUUCCAUACUGGCUGUGCCAGUUUACAUUCCCACCAAUAGUGCAUGAGGGUUCCAUUUUCUCCACAUCCUCACCAACACUCGUUAUUUCUUGUCUUUUUUAAAAACAUCUUCAUUGGAGUCUAAUUGCUUUACAAUGGUGUGUUAGUUUCUGCUGUAUAACUGUUGUCUUUUUGAUACAGUCAUUCUGAUAGGUGUGAGGUGAUAGUGUGGUUUUGAUUUGCAUUUCCCUGAUGAUUAAUCAUGUUGAGUGUCUUUUCAGGUGCCUGUCGGCCAUCGUAUGACUUUUUCGGGGGAAAAUAUUUAUUCAGUACUUUUGCACAUUUUUUCAUUUUUCUUUUCUUUUUUAAUUUUUAUUUUUUUAUUUAAAAAAUAGUUAUUUAUUGGCUGCGUCAGGUAUUAGUUGCGGCGCGCAGGAUCUUUUGUUGCGGUGCAUGGGCUCUUCGUUGUUGUCGUGGGCUUCUCUCUAGUUGUGGCACUCAGGCUUAGUUGCCUUGUGGCAUGUGGGAUCUUAGUUCCCCGAUGCAUUGUAAGGCAGAUUCUUAACCACUGGACCACCAGGGUAUUCCCUAGGUCCAUCCAUGUUGCUGCAAGUGGCGUUAUUUCAUUCAUUUUUAUGGCUGGGUAAUAUUCCAUUGUAUAAAUAUACGACAUCUUCUUUACCCAUUCCUCUGUCGAUGGACAUUUAGGUAGCUUCCAUGUCUUGGCUAUUGUAAAUACUGCUGCUAUGAACACUAGGGUGCAUGUGUCUUUUUGAAAUAGAGUUUUCUCCAGAUAUAUGCCCAGUAGUGGGAUUGCAGGAUCAUAUGGUAGUUCUAUUUUUAGUUUUUUAAGGAACUUCCGUACUGUUUUCCACAGUGGCUGCACCAAUUUACAUUCCCACCAACAGUGCAAGAGGGUUCCCUUUUCUCCACACCCUCUCCAGCAUUUAUUACUUGUAGACUUUUUGAUGAUGGCCAUCCUGACCAAUGUCUGUUGCACUUCUCUACACUAACAAUGAACUAUCAGAAAGAGAAAUUAAGGAAACAGUCCCAUUUACCAUUGCAUCAAAGGGAAUAAAAUACCUAGGAAUAAACCUCCCUAAGGAGGCAAAAGACUGUACUCUGAGAACUAUAAGACACUGAUGAAAGAAACUGAAGUUGACAGAAACAGACAGAAAGAUAUACUGUGUUCUUGGAUUGGAAGAAUCAAUAUUGUGAAAAUGACUACACUACCCAAAGCAAUCUGCAGAUUCAAUGCAAUCCCUAUCAAAUUACCAAUGGAAUUUUUUUUUUCCAGAACUAGAACAAAAAAAUUUUAAAUUUGUGUGGAAACACAUGUUCUCUUCAUCAUUCCCAUAUUGUUGAAUGCUUAUGUGUUUUAAUUUUUUCCACUUUAAAUCACAUUGUAUUGUUUGUCUUUUUUUUUUUUUAAUUAUUUAUUUAUUUAUUUUUGGCUGCGUUGGGUCUCCGUUGCUAAGCCCGGGCUUUCUCUAGCUGCGGUGAGCGGGGGCUACUCUUCGUUGCAGUGCGCGGGCUUCUCAUUGCAGUGGCUUCUCUUGUUGCAGAGCACAGGCUGUAGGCGCAUGGGCUUCAGUAGUUGCGGCACGCAUGCUCAGCAGUUGUGGCUCGCGGGCUCUAGAGCACAGGCUCAGUAGUUGUGGCUCACGGGCUUAGUUGCUCUGCGGCAUGUGGGAUCUUCCCGGACCGGGGCACGAACCCGUGUCCCCUGCAUUGGCAGGCGGAUUCUCAACCACUGUGCCACCAGGGAAGCCCUGUUUGUCUUUUUUAAAUAACUUUUUUCUGCAUAAACCUUUCCCCACCUCUGAUGGAUUCCUUAAAAGGUAUCCCCUGUUGGGUAUACCUAUAUAACUAUUAAACCUGAGAUUUAUAUUUUCUAAGGCUUAAACAGCAUUCUAGAUUUAUUUAUACAUAUAUAAAAGUACAUAUAUACUUUUAACAUAAACAUGAUUAUAUAAUAUUAUAUUCUUUGUUUUAUAUCAUUUCUGAUUAUGCAAUCUUUCUUGCCUUUAAAAAAUUCCAAUAAUAGAAAAACCCUACAUUUAGUGGAGUUUGCAGCUCUCUACCACCUUUUUUUCUUUUUUUUUUUUUUGCGGUACGCGGGCCUCUCACUGCUGUGGCCUCUCCCGUUGCAGAGCACAGGCUCCGGACGCGCAGGCUCAGCGGCCAUGGCUCACGGGCCCAGCCGCUCCGCGGCACGUGGGAUCCUCCCGGACCGGGGCACGAACCCGCGUCCCCUGCAUCGGCAGGCGGACUCCCAACCACUGCGCCAUCUUAUUUAUAUUAGCUGUCCAUUUGUAUUUAGCUCUCCAUGUGGAAUCAUGUCUUCAUCGCACUAGGCUUUUCCUCCACCAAAUGCUUCAGAAAGGCACCAUGGGAGCUAGUGUAGCUGGGGCUUGGUGACCAGUUAGUGAGGGUCUUCCUGUGGGUGCUGCAGUGGAUCAGCUCAUGUGGAUGGAUUUCCCCACCUCCCGGGCUCCCAGCUGCAUUGGUCGUGGUUGCUGGCAAGCAGGUGACUGCCUCCAUUCCUGUUUUGCUUGUGUUGUCUCUGAGGAAACAGGAUCUCUGGGUCCAUAGGCCCAAAUCCCUCUAUUCCUUGGAGGGACUGGGACAGGGGUCCUGCCUCAGCAGGCAACUGGAAAUGGAGCUCUGAGGAGGCUGCUACAGGUCAGACUUUCCUGGGACCCAUAUUUUGAUCUUUAUUUUUACCUCAAUGGGAAUCUGUGAUAUUUAUGCCAUCAGAGCACAACCAGAACCAUUACUCAUGUUUCACAAUUUCUGUGGGUGAUCCUGUGUGCUUCUGAAGUUCUGUCACCUUUUCAGCAGUGCCACAUUUUUACUCUCUAUGGAAAGAGGGCAAACCUCCCACUAUUUUGGGCGGUAACGUGUCUCCAGUCACCUUCCCAGUAGGGAGCUGCUCCACGAAGGGCAGGGUUUGCCCUUGACAAAGUCAAGGGUUUUGACAAAGUCAGGUGUUUCCCUUCCACAGAGGAGGGGACUAGACCCUUCCUUGGUCACCUGUGUGUCUCUAGGACCUGUCACGGUCCUCAGCACCUUGUGAAGUUGGUGUCCUAAGGUACCCCUAGUGGACACGUGUUCUCUGGCCGCAGCCUGGUGCUCAGACCGACGACAGGGGUCUUCAGGUACUGGGUGGAGAUGCGUGGUGGACACCACAUGGCCGAUACAGAGGUGCAGACGAUGGUGUCAUCUCCAUCCUCUCAAGGUUGUUGGACCCCAAACUUAACCAAGAGGCAGAGCCUGGGACCAGGACAGAGAAUAAGGGCGGCAUCCAGAAAGCCUGCCACCAGCUUGAGGUCCACCUUAAGGCAGGGCCCCCUUCCAUCCUUCCUCUUACUGUCACUUAAUACGCUCGGGGAGGGGGGAGGCUGGGAGGGGACAGGUGGGUGAGAUACCUGAGGCUCAGCAGAACCCAGGCUGGGUGCCAGGGACAUGCCUUGGCCAUCUCGCUGCCUGAGUCAGGGAGAGUCCUCUGUCCCUGAAGAAGGAACAAGUACAUGUCGUGGGGGCCUGCCUUUGUCCCAGGAGCUCCAGGCUCUUUUUCAUGUCUGGGUCCCACAUGGCACCUGUCCUGACACUUACUCCUCGGCUUAAGAUGGAGGAGACAAGGCUUGUCCCCUGAGAAGCCAAGUGCUGCAGGGCACCUACACGCCGGCCUGUGAGGGGCCUGAGUCCUGGCGAGGAGGGAGGGGGUGGACGAGGGAAGGCUGAGGCCUGAGAUGAGGCACCAGAAGUCAGACUGAUAGAGCCCCUGGGCCAGAGGAGGGUUUGUGAAGUCUCCCAGGGCUGAGUGGUGAUGGGAGAUGGAGCUGGCGGGGGCUCAGGGUUCUCCACUGCGUGAGAGUGGCGUUUGGCAGUCAAGAUGGCCCAGAGGGAGGCCCAAGGGCUCUAGAAGGUUGUGAUAAACCAGGCCAAUAAAGAGGAAAACACAACUUUUGGAUUUUCUUUACUUUGUUCACUCUUUAUUAGUGAUCGCUUAAAAAUUCCUUUUGACAACCAUCCCAUCUCUGCUGAACUCAGGGUACGGAGAGUCCAGAGGCUGCUGGAGGAGGGGAAGGGAGAGUCGGCCUUGGGCCCCCCCAAGCACCUGCGUAUCUGGGAGGGAGAAGCGCCAGCCUCUGCUUCACACCUGUGCACCUUCCCGGCAGCCCAUCUGUGUGCUGGG